RNAcentral lists this ribosomal RNA (253 nucleotides) under uncultured bacterium. RNAcentral describes it as "partial 16S ribosomal RNA". It matches the Rfam family "Bacterial small subunit ribosomal RNA", at positions 524 to 776 of the family's 1533-position model. The record is from RNAcentral.
UACGGAGGUUGCGAGCGUUGUUCGGAAUAACUGGGCGUAAAGGGAGCGCAGGCGGUUCGGUAAGUCUAAAGUGGAAGCCCGGGGCUUAACCUCGGAAGUGCUUUGGAUACUGUCGAACUCGAGUUCGUGAGAGGAAAGCGGAAUUCCAGGUGUAGCGGUGAAAUGCGUAGAUAUCUGGAGGAACACCGGUGGCGAAAGCGGCUUUCUGGCGCGAUACUGACGCUGAGGCUCGAAAGCAUGGGGAGCAAACAGG